Salvelinus namaycush (lake trout) is the source of this 225-nucleotide long non-coding RNA. RefSeq lists it as uncharacterized. The transcript has 3 exons. The record is from RefSeq and is a predicted model, not a curated record. Lineage: Eukaryota; Metazoa; Chordata; Actinopteri; Salmoniformes; Salmonidae.
CCUGGACAAGGCUAACCUGACCUCCCUCGACCAAUUGGAGGGCAAGCAGUGGACACGUGCACAGUCGGCCUUUCUGGUCAGAAAUAUCCUCGGCAAGAAGAUGACACUUCCAGACAUGCGGAAGCUGGGCUCGGCGAUGCAGGGCGUGGCCUGUGAGAUGAUUGAAAAGGUGGCUGAAAGUGGCGUCCUGGAGAUGGCCCAAGCUGUGACAGAGACUCCACGCUG